GGAGAACAGUACAUGGGGGAUCUGGAACCUCGCGUCACCCACGUCGACCAAGACGGGCCAUCAUGGUGAGUUCGACGGGAGUCGCGACAUCGACGACAUCCAGAUCAAGCCCGGCUCCUCCUAUAUCUGGAUCGACCGUUGCUCCCUCGAUGACUACGACGACGGGCUAUUGACAUCAUCAGCCAGAGGCGACGUUGUUGUUUUCCUUCCGGGACUCCAGAGUUCAGACGCCCAUGGGCGUGGACUUGUGUGUCAAAGUAAGCCACAAACAAACCAGCCCAAAAUAAGCCAAGGCAAAAGACCGCCACAUGACAAGGAUCUAGCACUGGUAAUAUCAUGCAGGUGUUGGAAGUGUACCUGCCAGUUUUGCUCGGAUUGGUUGAAGAGGGU
This is a long non-coding RNA of Triticum aestivum (bread wheat), 390 nucleotides long. RefSeq lists it as uncharacterized. The transcript has 3 exons. The record is from RefSeq and is a predicted model, not a curated record. NCBI's taxonomy places the organism in Eukaryota, Viridiplantae, Streptophyta, Magnoliopsida, Poales, Poaceae.